UCGGAACCUUUCACAGGAUGAUGAAGCCUCGACACACACACACACACACACACACACACACACACACACACACACACACACACACACACACACACUUCUUAGCUCUGCAUGAGCUGCAGCCCACUCCUUUGCAUUCCAGUGCACUCAGCCUUAUCAAAUAUUUACUGUUGAGUUAUGGCUGCUACCCGCUCUGCAAGGUAACGGACAGGGAAGGGGAAGGCUGAUGUUUAGGGCUGCUACCCGCUCUGCAAGGUAACAGACAGGGAAGGGGAAGGCUGAUGUUUAGGGCUGCUACCCACUCUGCAAGGUAACGGACAGGGAAGGGGAAGGCUGAUGUUUAGGGCUGCUACCCGCUCUGCAAGGUAACGGACAGGGAAGGGGAAGGCUGAUGUUUAGGGCUGCUACCCGCUCUGCAAGGUAACGGACAGGGAAGGGGAAGGCUGAUGUUUAGGGCUGCUACCCGCUCUGCAAGGUAACGGACAGGGAAGGGGAAGGCUGAUGUUUAGGGCUGCUACCCGCUCUGCAAGGUAACAGACAGGGAAGGGGAAGGCUGAUGUUUAGGGCUGCUACCCACUCUGGUAAUGGAAGGGGAGUAGAGUAGAGUGUUCACACAGAGGGAUCCCUCCCUGGCUAUAUACAGGAAGUACCUGGUAAUAACAUAGUUAUAUACAGGAAGUACCU
Molecule: long non-coding RNA, 681 nt
Organism: Oncorhynchus keta (chum salmon)
Lineage: Eukaryota; Metazoa; Chordata; Actinopteri; Salmoniformes; Salmonidae
Exons: 4
Source: RefSeq, a predicted model, not a curated record